Molecule: long non-coding RNA, 764 nt
Filed under: Brachypodium distachyon (stiff brome)
Lineage: Eukaryota; Viridiplantae; Streptophyta; Magnoliopsida; Poales; Poaceae
Description: long non-coding RNA (BDIS_LNC002720)
Source: RNAcentral
AGAAAUGCAGGAUUAUUGGUCUUUCGUUUUAUGAUUGAGCCAUCGAUUUCGCGUUAAGUCGUUUACCUCAGUCAAGGUAGUGCCGUGCCUAGUCUAGUCUACCUGGACCAGACCUGGCGUGCACCAAGCUUUGUGACAUCACCCACAGUAAACGUACGUGCAACACUUUUACUCUUUAUUGUUUUGUCAAUUUAAAAAAAAAAAAUCGUGCUAGUAAAAGAUUGGCAUUUCACGAGAUGCGCCUGUAUUUCACGACAAAUACCGUGAAUGAAACAAAAUUACAGGACGCAUCUCUGUCACGUUUCAGGCUGCCGUCGAGGGCGGGCACAGUUUUGUAAGGUGCACCGGAAGGAAGUUCAUCGUACCUUAUAAAAUUUAUUAUCUUUUUGUCCGACAAUGAAUUCGUCGCGUGCAUGACAGGUCCAUUUUUCCAUCAUUUUCAUCAAGCUUUUCCUAGAUCUAGCUUUUGUAGAGCACUAGUGCUAAGUAGUCAUUUUCAGUCCCGCACCAUUUUCCACAAGCCGUACAGAAACUUGCAGAUUUCAUGCAAGACCAUGCCUGGGCUUGGACGCUUGCGCGCACUAGUCACGGCAUCUUUUACUCCAACCGCCGAUCACAAUAAUUCAGCACGCCUCCAGGGAGCAACGUAAAAAGAGUUCUUCCAAAAAAUUUACAUGGUCAGGCCGGGACUAUUCAUGGUGCGAGUGAUCUGAACCGAAAAUUGUACUGCAUGGUCCCAGAAAUCUUGAUGUAAUCUUGAGACG